UAUGGCUCAGGAUGAACGCUAGCUACAGGCUUAACACAUGCAAGUCGAGGGGCAGCAGAUCGAAAGCUUGCUUUGAUGCUGGCGACCGGCGCACGGGUGAGUAACGCGUAUCCAACUUCCCUAUAGUAGAGAAUAGCCCGGCGAAAGUCGGAUUAAUGCUCUAUGUUGUAUUUAGAAGACAUCUGAAGAAUACCAAAGGUUUACCGCUAUAGGAUGGGGAUGCGUCUGAUUAGGUGUUGGCGGGGUAACGGCCACCAAGCCUACGAUCAGUAGGGGUUCUGAGAGGAAGGUCCCCCACAUUGGAACUGAGACACGGUCCAAACUCCUACGGGAGGCAGCAGUGAGGAAUAUUGGGUCAAUGGACGAAAGUCUGAACCAGCCAAGUAGCGUGCAGGAUGACGGCCCUAUGGGUUGUAAACUGCUUUUAUACAGGGAUAAAGUGAGGGACGUGUCCCUUUUUGUAGGUACUGUAUGAAUAAGGACCGGCUAAUUCCGUGCCAGCAGCCGC
RNAcentral lists this ribosomal RNA (508 nucleotides) under uncultured bacterium. Its description in RNAcentral is "bacterial SSU rRNA". It matches the Rfam family "Bacterial small subunit ribosomal RNA", at positions 18 to 518 of the family's 1533-position model. The record is from RNAcentral.